GUGGGGAAUCUUGCGCAAUGGGCGAAAGCCUGACGCAGCCAUGCCGCGUGAAUGAUGAAGGUCUUAGGAUUGUAAAAUUCUUUCACCGGGGACGAUAAUGACGGUACCCGGAGAAGAAGCUCCGGCUAACUUCGUGCCAGCAGCCGCGGUAAUACGAAGGGGGCUAGCGUUGCUCGGAAUUACUGGGCGUAAAGGGCGCGUAGGCGGACAGCUUAGUCAGAGGUGAAAGCCCAGGGCUCAACCUUGGAAUUGCCUUUGAUACUGGCUGUCUUGAGUUUGGGAGAGGUAAGUGGAACUCCGAGUGUAGAGGUGAAAUUCGUAGAUAUUCGGAAGAACACCAGUGGCGAAGGCGACUCACUGGCCCAAUACUGACGCUGAGGCGCGAAAGCGUGGGGAGCAAACAGGAUUAGAAACCCCUGUAGUCC
This 425-nucleotide ribosomal RNA is filed under the name uncultured bacterium. Its description in RNAcentral is "partial 16S ribosomal RNA". It matches the Rfam family "Bacterial small subunit ribosomal RNA", at positions 354 to 796 of the family's 1533-position model. The record is from RNAcentral.